Molecule: ribosomal RNA, 292 nt
Filed under: uncultured bacterium
Lineage: Bacteria
Description: partial 16S ribosomal RNA
Rfam family: Bacterial small subunit ribosomal RNA
Source: RNAcentral
GUGUCAGCAGCCGCGGUAAUACGAAGGGGGCUAGCGUUGCUCGGAAUUACUGGGCGUAAAGGGAGCGUAGGCGGAUAGUUCAGUCAGAGGUGAAAGCCCAGGGCUCAACCUUGGAACUGCCUUUGAUACUGGCUAUCUUGAGUUUGGGAGAGGUGUGUGGAACUCCGAGUGUAGAGGUGAAAUUCGUAGAUAUUCGGAAGAACACCAGUGGCGAAGGCGACACACUGGCCCAAUACUGACGCUGAGGCUCGAAAGCGUGGGGAGCAAACAGGAUUAGAAACCCUUGUAGUCC